Molecule: ribosomal RNA, 407 nt
Filed under: Arthrobacter sp. EP_S_70
Lineage: Bacteria; Bacillati; Actinomycetota; Actinomycetes; Micrococcales; Micrococcaceae
Description: bacterial SSU rRNA
Rfam family: Bacterial small subunit ribosomal RNA
Source: RNAcentral
ACGAUGAAGCCCAGCUUGCUGGGUGGAUUAGUGGCGAACGGGUGAGUAACACGUGAGUAACCUGCCCCCGACUUUGGGAUAAGCCCGGGAAACUGGGUCUAAUACCGGAUAUGACUUUCCACCGCAUGGUGGGUUGUUGAAAGAUUUAUCGGUGGGGGAUGGACUCGCGGCCUAUCAGCUUGUUGGUGAGGUAAUGGCUCACCAAGGCGACGACGGGUAGCCGGCCUGAGAGGGUGACCGGCCACACUGGGACUGAGACACGGCCCAGACUCCUACGGGAGGCAGCAGUGGGGAAUAUUGCACAAUGGGCGGAAGCCUGAUGCAGCGACGCCGCGUGAGGGAUGACGGCCUUCGGGUUGUAAACCUCUUUCAGUAGGGAAGAAGCGAAAGUGACGGUACCUGCAUAA